Long non-coding RNA from Mesocricetus auratus (golden hamster), 4005 nucleotides. RefSeq lists it as uncharacterized. The transcript is spliced from 3 exons. The record is from RefSeq and is a predicted model, not a curated record. Lineage: Eukaryota; Metazoa; Chordata; Mammalia; Rodentia; Cricetidae.
CCUCCCCAGGUCAUGGUGUUUCAUCGAGGCAAUAGUAACCCUAACUAAGACAGCACUUUAGGAUGGUAUGUUUAAUAAUUAGAGUUUAUUAGAAUUCCUAAGGUGAUAAUGACCUAUUCUUGGUAACAAAAACUAACUUAAAAAAACUUUUUAAAAGCCAGGUGCGCUGUCACAUACCUGUAAUCCCAGCACUGUUUGAGAUCAGCCUGGUCUACAGAGUGAGAGCCAGGGCAGCACAGAGAAAAACAAACAAACAGACAAAAGUGUGUCUAAUCCAGAUAAUCACUUCAGUUGUUUGAUAAUUCUGUUAAACUUUAGCCACUUGGGGAACCUGAGCCAUAUCUAAGCCAGUUUUAUUUAAAACUCCUUGGGUUGCUUUGCUUAGACUUUAUCUAAAUGCUAUACAGAGUUUAAAGCAUAAGACCAAUAAAGCUGUCCUUCUGGGUGUUCAGCAAAUCUUGAAAUCCUACACAAAAAGGGAUAAAAGGCUCAAAGAGGACACCCAAUAUUUUGGCCCUUGAGAUCCAUGGUGAACCAGAACUCAGGGGACAACGAGACCUCUCUGAUAAGUUGCCCGUCCUUUUGAUCAGAGAAACCAUUGGGCCUACAGAGAUUAAAUUCUAGCCAAGUGCAUCCUACAAUAAAGGAAGUCACUUGAGUCCUGGGGUUAUAUAUGGUACAAUAUAGAAGUUAUAAUUAUAUGGGGUCCACACCAGUCUACCUCACGUGUAUGUGACGGAUGUGCAACUUACCAUUGAAAAGGAGGUUAUGAAAACUAAAAUAUAUUCAGAUGGCAAUGGACUACAUCUUCAGAUAGACAAUGAUGCCCCCCCCCCAGCUGCUACUGCUGAUAAUGUGGGUAAAAUCAUCUGUCCCCUGAUACGUGCAAAAGGGAAACAUUGCUAGUGCUGGGGCAACCACAGAGCAGAUGGAGAAACAGAACUAGAAACUUCCCUAAAAUUGGGGGAGGGGAGAACUGGCAUUUGUGACAAGCCACAUUAAUUUACAGCCUGUUAAGUAAAUGGGACCCCAAUUGCAACAGGAAUGGCUGUUUAAGACUGAAAAUGGGGGCUAUUGAACAUUUAAAUAUGAAAAGAUAGCCAUCCUGAGGCCAUUGUCCCUGCUUUUGUUAAAUAGCUCCGUGAGAGAACUCAUGUGAGCCAGGCAGCUCUAGAAACCAUAUUAGACCGACACUUUUAUGUUUCCUGGCUUGCCAGAAUAUUCGAUGAACCUGUGAACAAUGAGACCCUGUUCCCAAAAUAACUCUUGACAGUGACUUCCCAAAAUACAGGAUUUUAGAAAAGUCCAAUUUAAAAAAAAAUUGUUGUUGUCUUUACAGAACUUCCCCAAAUCAGGAGUUACAAAUACUUGCUUGUCUUUGUACUUUCUUGGGUUGGAUAAAAGUCUUUUCUAUGCAGUAGCCUAACUUCUAAAAGAAAGUGCCCCUGGGCCUGAUAUUCCUAUUAUUGUAGGGUCAGACAAUAGGCCAGGAUUUAAGGCAAACUCUACAAUACCUUGUUAUAUAAAGAACAUAAUGCUAAUAGAGUUCACUUUGGUUUUACUUUUGCAAAGUAUGCUGAUAAAAAUUAGAUAUGGAGAUUUACUACUUCAAUAAUAUGGAUCAAAUGUAAAAUACAUGACACUUGCAUGAUAUUCCCCAGGCUAAAAUAGUACUCCUUCUUUGGAUGGGACACAGACCCCACUGGAAUAAUUGCAAGUUAGGUGCUGCAUGUUACAGAAUAAGAACACUUGGGAAAACAGCUCUCACCAGAGCCUGUUGCUCCUGUUCCCAAGUGUGCAGGCAGGGCCACCAAACCCCCUCCUUACUGACAGAGGUGAGCUACUCCUCAAGUUUCACACAACAGGAGAUGGAUUCUUUUGCCUAAUGGGGCAUUUUGGAACCUGGACCACACUAUGAACAUCUCAAACAAGGGAGGGGCAGAUGGCAAGUACUCUGCACUCAUCCCACAAGUUGAAAUAUGAUGGCGCUAUGGACAAGGGACUUUUUACCCAAGCCUACCACCAGUGGCUGGGACCUGAACACUGGCUCAUCAGCCAUACCAUUUACCCUGGUCUUCCAUUCUCCUCCUCUAAUCCCAGCGUUAAGAGGACAACACCCAAGUCCUUUGAUAUCUACAUUGUUCUCCAAAGUUGUACCAGGCUUUACAGCUGCAGCAUUUUAAACACAUUUUCUGACAGCACAAUUACAAAACUAACCCAGCCACAUAAGAAGGUAAGUAAAGUCAAGCUUUAACUCUCAGAAUACAGUAGAGUCCCUGGCAUUGCACAUAAAACCCUGCUGGAAAUGAGUGCUUGUUUUUAAAUCUUUCCCUAUUAUAAUAAAUCUGCUGGAGAUGAUUUCCUGGCCUCAGCACAAUAGAAUGAAGCCAGCUUUUUACAACUGGGAAUGUUCCUGACCUGUCAACACUAUGUAAACUGACCAUCCGGAGAGGCCAUGCUCUGAUGCCAGAAGAGUCACUGAGUGUGAGGAUUUGACUACCUACAGAAACAACACCAUUGUCCCAGGAGAAGUCCCAGGACAUCUUGAAAGCUGAAAGACUCUACAGACUGCACCAUUCAAAACAGAAUGGAGGCCUGGGGAGUCAGCCCAAACCUCGGGAGAGGAGCACAAGAAAAAGGAGGGGAAUCCAACAAGGCUCGGUCACUGUGAAGACUCCUCAUGGAUAACACUUACCUUAUGCAACACAGAUCCAUUAUUGCUUGUCGGAAGAUAUGCUGCAGCACCCAGUAGGCAGCCACAGCCUUGCUUCAGACCAGGAAUUUUUGAACAAAAAAGAGCCAUAGUCUUCCAAUCACUUUCAGAGAACAGCAAAAAGCUACAUUCAAAGAACCCUGAUGAUAAUGAAUAUGCUAAUAUGAUUUUUACCAGGUCUCUACACACUUUCAAAGAAAUACUUUGACCUUCCACAUAGAUUCAAAGCUUCCAUUGAAGUCCGAAGGGGGUUUGGGCUUAAAUAACAUGAAAGUUUUUACAUAAAUGGAUACAACUAAGGAGUUAUGAAUUAAAAGUGAAUUUCACAUUGUCCCCAAAAGCUCUGACCUUGAAUGAGACACAUAGGUCCUAAUUGGUUGCCAGUGGACCUUCUGGCCAGACAGCUGUUACCUUUAGGAAGAAUGAGCCAGGAAGCAUUAACUGGAGUCCUUUCUGCAUGACAAGUGAGCUCUGGAAACGUGGAUUCAAAUUCCAGCUCUGCAACUCAUUAGCCGCAGGCUGAGCUGAUUGCACUCAACUUGCUCAAGUGUAAAAGGCUUAGUGAUUCCUUGCUGGUAGUCUGUAUUCCAGAGGGGCUAGGCAUCUACCCAAUCACAGCACAUCCAAGGCAUGGAGAUCCCACUACCAUACCACCCCCAGCCUCCCAUAUUCUCCCUUCUUCCAACACAUAGAGAGGAGGUACCCCGGAUUCAGCUGUCAACAAGCCAGAUGAAUGGGAGCUGCCAUAUCAAUGAGAGGAACUGGAGCUAAACCAGGAGCAACCAACAAUCUCUGAGAGGUGCAAGUUGCGGAGGAGAAUGAAAAGAGCAAAGUCUUAACCACAUGCAGACCUGCAUUCCAAUCCCAUCUCAUGGUUUCCUGGCUGUAACUCUUAGAAGAGGCUUUUGAUGGCAUUAUUCUCAUUGAAAGACCCCAAGCGGGGGACUUUCACGGGAGGGAGACCCAAACCCAAGGAUCAACGAAACCACGAGCUUGGAUGCAACAGCAAGAGGCUUUAUUGAUAAUACACGGGUACCCGGGGCAUCUCAGUCUCGGGAACUGAGAGCCCCGAGCUGGGGACUCAGGGGUCCUUUUAUAGCAAAAAGCGGAGUACAGAAGCAAGAAGCCUAGUUACAGGACCUUGAUUGGACAAUGAGGCCGGGGCUCACAGAAUGAGGGCUAUUGAGGUUUCUCUCAGAACUCAAGUCUCGGCCUUGGCCCUAUCUGAGGAACAAUAGGUCUCUGUGCCUGCCCAAUCUUGCUGGGCUGGCUAUGCGGACGCUAUGCAGAUA